AUGUGGUCCUCUCAUGUCGCAGCAGCCAACUACGAUGAUUCACUGAUCUUGCUCUCUCAUGGUCCUCUUCUUCCCUCCGAUCUCCUCGACCUGUCCGACGCCGGCGACUCCUCACCGCCCCGGGCCUUUGGAAGAAAAGUUUGGACCAUCCCUCGAUCUCCUCGCCCUGGCCGACGCCGCCAUCUCCUCAGCUUCGAGGAGAGGACGACUGUCAAGGACCGACAUUCGCCGGCGUGCAGCUUGGCGUUGGUCAGGAAGAGCACCAGCGUCAUGCCCAGGCUCAUGACCCACAGCCGGAGCUUCGUCGCCAACAGGGGCGACCCUCCUCCGCCGUCGAACAAGAUCCCCAAGAGCCCCUUCCCACAUGAGAAGAUCUCGAUGAGCUUCACGUCCGUGUGGAUCAUGAGCAGGAUGGCCAGGAAGGAGGAGCCCUCCUCGCCGGUCUCCGACGACAACGACGACGUUGGCAGCACAGCCAUGUCCUCCAAGCGGCGCCCCUUGUCGAUCGCUCGGGUGCCGUGCCGGGAAAGCUCAAUGCUCUCGGGAAGGUAUGUGAUCGUCAGAUAUUUAGAUGGGCUUUUCUCUAGGGAGCAGGCGCAGAAGGUGGCGCUUGAGGCCUUGCGCAACGCGUCGGCGACGGAGAACAUAGUUAGGAUCUACAAGUAUGUCCAGCAAUGGCACCUCUUUUUCCUAUGGCAAUUUGACACCGUCUGGACAGAGUGGCUUGUCUGCUUGAGCCCGCAUACUACGACGGCCAACUUGCUCGGUGCACGCGUCGGUUGGUCCCAGGAGGAGUGUACUGUUGAGAUCAAUGUCGGGAUCCGCAAGUACUACUAUUCAGAGUUCCCGUGGACUUUUCGUUCAGGCAAAUGA
This 873-nucleotide ribosomal RNA is filed under the name Triticum aestivum (bread wheat). Its description in RNAcentral is "partial small subunit ribosomal RNA". Lineage: Eukaryota; Viridiplantae; Streptophyta; Magnoliopsida; Poales; Poaceae. The record is from RNAcentral.